RNAcentral lists this RNase P RNA (313 nucleotides) under candidate division CPR3 bacterium. RNAcentral's name for it is "RNase P RNA component class A". It matches the Rfam family "Bacterial RNase P class A". From Rfam's summary of the family: Ribonuclease P (RNase P) is a ubiquitous endoribonuclease, found in archaea, bacteria and eukarya as well as chloroplasts and mitochondria. Its best characterised activity is the generation of mature 5'-ends of tRNAs by cleaving the 5'-leader elements of precursor-tRNAs. The record is from RNAcentral. Lineage: Bacteria; candidate division CPR3.
AGGGGUAGUGAAGCAGGCGCUCUAUCUACCUUAAGAUAGAUAGAGAGGAAAGUCCGAACUUCCCCUGUUUAUCUGUGACAGGGAUGUAGGUGCUGGCGAAAGCUAGAUAGGGGUAACCUUAUGUAUCGGGCCACAGAAAAUAGACCGCCUCAUACCUUAAAGUUUGAGGUAAGGGUGAAAAGGUGAGGUAAGAGCUCACCAUCUCGAGUCGUGAGACUCGAGAGUUCGGUAACCACCACCUGAAGCAACCUCUUUAUGAGGGCUUAGAUUAAUGCCUGCAUAAACAGAAUUCGGCUUAUCACUACCCCUUAAA